CUUUCAACAAUGGAUCUCUUGGUUCUGGCAUCGAUGAAGAACGCAGCGAAAUGCGAUAAGUAGUGUGAAUUGCAGAAUUCAGUGAAUCAUCGAAUCUUUGAACGCACAUUGCGCCCCUUGGUAUUCCAUGGGGCAUGCUUGUUCGAGCGUCAUU
Molecule: ribosomal RNA, 154 nt
Filed under: uncultured fungus
Lineage: Eukaryota; Fungi
Description: 5.8S ribosomal RNA
Rfam family: 5.8S ribosomal RNA
About the family: 5.8S ribosomal RNA (5.8S rRNA) is a component of the large subunit of the eukaryotic ribosome. It is transcribed by RNA polymerase I as part of the 45S precursor that also contains 18S and 28S rRNA.
Source: RNAcentral